AAUGACUGGAAAUCCAAGCGGUUCAAAAGGAGUCAGAAUGAGAUGGUGAAAUAGAGAAGAAGGUACAACCCUGUCACUCCGUUGUCACUUGAAAGUAAAGAAGAGAUACACGCUUUGGAUCAAAAUUUUGUGGGCCUUCUCAUGGAAUCAAAUGUCGAAUGAACUUGCUGCAAAAGAAAAGAGUAAGGAGCUACGGACAUACUUCA
Molecule: unclassified non-coding RNA, 206 nt
Filed under: Hevea brasiliensis (rubber tree)
Lineage: Eukaryota; Viridiplantae; Streptophyta; Magnoliopsida; Malpighiales; Euphorbiaceae
Source: RNAcentral